RNAcentral lists this ribosomal RNA (486 nucleotides) under uncultured bacterium. RNAcentral describes it as "partial 16S ribosomal RNA". It matches the Rfam family "Bacterial small subunit ribosomal RNA", at positions 30 to 507 of the family's 1533-position model. The record is from RNAcentral.
AUUGAACGCUGGCGGCAUGCCUUACACAUGCAAGUCGAACGGCAGCACGGGUGCUUGCACCUGGUGGCGAGUGGCGAACGGGUGAGUAAUACAUCGGAACAUGUCCUGUAGCGGGGGAUAGCCCGGCGAAAGCCGGAUUAAUACCGCAUACGAUCUACGGAUGAAAGCGGGGGACCUUCGGGCCUCGCGCUAUAGGGUUGGCCGAUGGCUGAUUAGCUAGUUGGUGGGGUAAAGGCCUACCAAGGCGACGAUCAGUAGCUGGUCUGAGAGGACGACCAGCCACACUGGGACUGAGACACGGCCCAGACUCCUACGGGAGGCAGCAGUGGGGAAUUUUGGACAAUGGGCGAAAGCCUGAUCCAGCAAUGCCGCGUGUGUGAAGAAGGCCUUCGGGUUGUAAAGCACUUUUGUCCGGAAAGAAAUCCUUGGCUCUAAUACAGUCGGGGGAUGACGGUACCGGAAGAAUAAGCACCGGCUAACUACGUG